RNAcentral lists this ribosomal RNA (212 nucleotides) under uncultured bacterium. RNAcentral describes it as "partial 16S ribosomal RNA". It matches the Rfam family "Bacterial small subunit ribosomal RNA", at positions 123 to 334 of the family's 1533-position model. The record is from RNAcentral.
UACCUACCCCACAGUGAGGGAUACCGGCGAGAAAUCGCCGACAAUACCGCAUAGGCUACUCUUCGCGAGAGGAGAAGCAAAGUUGCGCAAGCGACGCUGAGGGAUGGGCCUGUGGCCGAUUAGCUGGUUGGUGGGGUAAUGGCCUACCAAGGCUGCGAUCGGUAGCUGGUCUGAGAGGACGAUCAGCCACACUGGGAUUGAGAACGGCCCAG